UGAGGAACAUGACCUUCGGCGGGGGAUAGCCGGCCCAACGGCCGGGUAAUACCGCGUACGACCACUUUGGGACAUCCCUCGGUGGUGAAAGCAGCAAUGCGCCGAUGGAGUGCCUCGCGGCCUAUCAGCUAGUUGGUGAGGUAACGGCUCGCCAAGGCGACGACGGGUAGCUGGUCUGAGAGGAUGGCCAGCCACAUUGGGACUGAGACACGGCCAGGACUCCUACGGGAGCAG
RNAcentral lists this ribosomal RNA (234 nucleotides) under uncultured bacterium. Its description in RNAcentral is "partial 16S ribosomal RNA". It matches the Rfam family "Bacterial small subunit ribosomal RNA", at positions 118 to 347 of the family's 1533-position model. The record is from RNAcentral.